Molecule: long non-coding RNA, 1514 nt
Organism: Hemicordylus capensis (graceful crag lizard)
Lineage: Eukaryota; Metazoa; Chordata; Lepidosauria; Squamata; Cordylidae
Exons: 3
Source: RefSeq, a predicted model, not a curated record
GUUCUAGAACAGGAAUUUGUAAUGGAUGGAGACAGUUUGAAACCAGCAGAUGAGGCAAGUAUUUCAGCAUCUCUAAAUGCCAAAUCUUUUACUUCCGCUGUUUGUUUGAAUCUGUAAAUAACCUUUGCCAAGGCUUAAUUCUAGAGACAGUAGGGGGAAAGAUACUACAGUAGGUUGUCUGGAGGCUUUUUAGAAAGCAGGCUUUACCAUGGGUUUACUGUGGGUUUGGGCAUAACAGAUACUCUGACCCCAAAAGAGGAUUUUUUUUUUUUUUUAAACUCUGGUCAUAAAUUGGGCUAGGUUCCAAUACGGAGGGGAAACCCAAAUUGUGUGUGAAGGGCUCUCUGAAAUAUCACACAGACUCCAGGGCAAAUCUGGCCAAUAGAAUAAAGUCACGGUAAAGCUGCCGUCUGAAAAAGCUCCUGAAGAAGAAUCUUCACCCUGGAAAUAGACAACUUGAACAGGAAACUAUAGACACAUGGACAACAAUAGGACAACAUUUUGGGAAUCAUCUGGAAAUGCUGGAAAAAUCAUAGAUUUGACCCAGUUUAAGAAAAUAAACUCCAAACAAAAAUUGUGAUACAAGCAGGAGAUGGCUUGAUUUGGUUUUCAAUCAAGAAAGCAACAAACUCAUAACAGGAAGUCUGAUGAUACUAAUCCUUGCACUGUUUCUGGAAGGAGAAAGUGUAAAAGAUCACAGGCAGUUACCACCAACAUGGAGAAAGAAAAGAAAAGUAAAGAAACUGUGUUGGGGAGAAUCUUAUAACAAGCAGAACAGGGGUCGUGUUACACAUCUUGAAGUUUGCAAACCGGCUACAAAUCUAAUUAUAUGGAGUUUGAAACAGGCUGGGCUGAGGCCAUUUUAAAGAUGCAUCUCAGUGUCAGCACCAUUGAUACAACCACAGACAUCACUUUCCUCCAUCCGAACAACCCCCUUCACUAACUACACUGCAGUUUACACCCAACACCUCCAGGCUGAUGGACAAAAUCCUGACAUUUUCCCCAGGCAUACUAUCAAACUCAUCUAUACCCUUACACACAUCAGUUCUUGAAAUCACCCAUGGAUGGAAACAAGCAACCAGCAGUCCUACGGUAACUGCGCUAAAACAUAACCUUGUUAACAACUCUAAGGCUGUUAUCUACAACUCUGGCAGCAUAGCAAACCAACAGACUCCCAAAAAUCUAGGGCAAUAGUGUGCUAAUGGGACAACAGGCUACAGAUUGCUGCCUCUCCAGUGGUUAUAGCCAUCACGAAGUGUAAGCAGCGACUGUGUGGUUAUUGGCCAUCUGUUUCAACCAUGUAUGGCCAAACUGGGGGGACAGUGAUGCACAGAUAACAGAGAAGAGCAUGUGUUCUUUUUCAUUUCUGCUUUCUCUAUCAUGAUUAACUUUAACCACCCCCUAGAACUUCAGCUGACAAAUUAUAUGCUCAACUAUGUGUUUGACAUUAAUUGGUAAUUUCAUCCUCUUCUGCAUUGUAACUUUGUUUCACAUCAUAAAUAUUAAAUGAGUUU